CGGAAUAUUGGGGCGUAAGCGCGCGCAGGUGGUUUCUUAAGUCUGAUGUGAAAGCCCACGGCUCAACCGUGGAGGGUCAUUGGAAACUGGGAGACUUGAGUGCAGAAGAGGAAAGUGGAAUUCCAUGUGUAGCGGUGAAAUGCGUAGAGAUAUGGAGGAACACCAGUGGCGAAGGCGACUUUCUGGUCUGUAACUGACACUGAGGCGCGAAAGCGUGGGGAGCAAACAGGAUUAGAUACCCUGGUAGUCCACGCCGUAAGCGAUGAGUGCUAAGUGUUAGAGGGUUUCCGCCCUUUAGUGCUGAAGUUAACGCAUUAACCACUCCGCCUGGGGAG
RNAcentral lists this ribosomal RNA (335 nucleotides) under Bacillus cereus. Its description in RNAcentral is "bacterial SSU rRNA". It matches the Rfam family "Bacterial small subunit ribosomal RNA", at positions 546 to 880 of the family's 1533-position model. The record is from RNAcentral. Lineage: Bacteria; Bacillati; Bacillota; Bacilli; Caryophanales; Bacillaceae.